CUUGGCUUGCUUCUGUCAUUGUAUACACUACAUCCGAUACCUUUUGGAAACCUUAUUUGUUCACAAAGUUUCUGCAGGACACACACCUUUGAAAAAUUUGAUAAUGAGUUGUGCCUUUUACUGGGGAUUUACUUCUUGGAUUGCCUACUACAUUAAUCAUCCACUAUAUACACCACCAUCAUUUGGAAACAGGCAAAUCACAGUAUCUGCUAUCAAUUUUCUGAUUUGUGAAGCUGGGAAUCAUUUCAUCAAUGUAAUGUUGUCUCAUCCCAAUCACACAGGAAACAAUGCCUGUUUCCCAAGUCCAAAUUAUAACCCCUUCACAUGGAUGUUUUUCCUGGUUUCAUGUCCUAACUACACCUAUGAGAUUGGAUCAUGGAUUAGUUUCACAGUCAUGACACAAACACUGCCAGGUGGUCUCACUGCCUAAGACAUCAAAAGAAAAAGCCUGACAAAUUUACACCAUCUUGUUGUCAAUAUUAAUGCUACAGGUAUAAUCCUGUAGCAGCCAUGUACACAUUUUUAGCCUUUAAAACCUAACCUUCAUUUACAGGUUUUAGGAGUUACUAUACAUAAGUAUGUACACAUAUGCAUAUGUAUAUGGGUAUGUGUGUAAAUGUGCACACUUACAAACUUUAAUGAUACUCUAAAUUAAUAUAUAAGAUUUAUGUAAAUAAUAAGUUUGCAUUGCUGGCUAAAAUAUUGUGCAUUUAUUUUAAUAUAAAACAAAUCUAUAUAAUCUCACAUAUUCAUGGUUUUUUGCCACAUAUCUAAGUAACUUAAUUUUAGCUUAUGGAGUAUUUUGCAGGAGCAGCAUUCAACACUGCAUAGAUUAGUUGUAAGUGUCUCAAUUACAUUUACAUAUCAGUGUGUUUGGUGGGGAAAGAAGAUGAAAAAUAAAACAUUUGAAUAUAAAAUUAAAAUAAAUAAAAUAUGACAUUUAUUUAUGAUAGAUGUCAUAAUUUGAUCAUAUUCAUAGGAAAAACAUUAAU
This 992-nucleotide long non-coding RNA is filed under the name Homo sapiens (human). Its description in RNAcentral is "HSALNT0072968". Lineage: Eukaryota; Metazoa; Chordata; Mammalia; Primates; Hominidae. The record is from RNAcentral.